Long non-coding RNA from Gavialis gangeticus (Gharial), 2630 nucleotides. RefSeq lists it as uncharacterized. The record is from RefSeq and is a predicted model, not a curated record. Lineage: Eukaryota; Metazoa; Chordata; Crocodylia; Gavialidae. The transcript has 2 exons.
CUACCUGUGUUCUCGACCCAGCCACCAUUUCUCCUAUGCUCCCAGUCUGUGCAACUGCUUCCCUUGCCAGCUCCAGAUUUCCCCUGCUAGCUGCAAGCCAGACGAGAUCACUUGGCAGGCCAACUCCAGUCUAUACCCAUAGGUUGCCAGCCACUGAGCUAUUUCAUGGUUUAUAAAGUAGUGACAUGCUGAUAUCCUCCCCAGGCUGAUCAAGGAAAUGGACCUUUGCAGGUAAACCUAGUGCAAGCAAGGCUUUAGUCCCUCUGUCAUAGAACAGUUCAUUUGUAACCUAAUGGUAUCUGGAGAGAACUGGUGUUAUUGUGGUUUUAAGCCCCAUCUCUCUGCAACUCAUCCAAACAACCAAAAUGGACUCGAGUUGCUCAAGUGUCGUUUGUGAUGGAUUAGAACAGCAUGUGUACUAUGAAGGUUCACACCACACUGAAAGAUCAAACCAGGGUUUCAAACUGUUUUGGCUGGAUGGUCUUUACCUGCACUGGAACAGUUUCUGGUAUGGAUUUUAAUACAUUUUAGUCUCAUUCACAUUGGCCAGCCCACACCAUGAUAGGAUUAGUUUUGCCCAUAACCAUGUUGUAACAGUUGUGCUUAGUAAGGGUGGUCAGGCUCCAAGCUGACACCUUUGGGGAAUAUAUUGGGGAAAGCAGGUAUAAUUGUCAAGGGCGCGCCUAUCCUAAUCUGAGUUCUGGCCACUGCCAGGAUGAACAUAGAAGCUUUAAAUAGCAGAGGACAGAAAACUACUGUGAAGUUGUUUUGUCUCAUUUCAUGAAGUAUCCUUUCCUACUUAUCCAGCCCUUUCUGUAUGUUAGUGAUGCCUUUGGAUAUAGUAUCAACAUAUAUAUAAAAAAUCUCAAAUACUUCAGGCUUAUGCAUGGAUUCUAAGGUGCCAUGCCCAAGAGCAUUCAGUAGCGUUGGUAGUUGCCUUUUUGCACUAAGCAAAAUCCUGUACUACUUUAAAAAGAUAUUACAUGAAGGAACUUAUUUAAAAUGCUUUAUACGGGUUAAUUCUGGUAUCGGUGACAAGUGUUCCCUGUUCAGGUUUGUUGUCUUCACUUGGUUCCACCCCGCCACCCCCAAGGUUUGUAGUGCCUGAGACUUGUCAGGCUUUGCCUUGCUAAGCAAGAUAAAUGGAGAGGGGGUUUUUUAUUUGCUGUCUAAGGAACCAAGUGUCUAGUGAACUGCAGAUAUGUAGGGAAACAAAGUGAUGAAGUAGUAGACAAGUCAGACAGUCUUGUAUCUCCAGAGAAGACCGUAGUGUCCCAAGUUAAUGUCCAGUUUAUGUACAUUUAUUAUAGAAAUAACUGUAAACUGCAAGUAGCUUUUUAAAUGUAUUAAAUAAUUUAGAAUUAAUAUGUGUAUUUCUAAGCAGAUUUGCUUAAAAUUGCUACAGAUGUUUGCUACAUAUGCAUAUUAUCAGCAGAAAAGGCAAGUCAGCUAACUUAGACUUUCACAGACCACAUUUCUGUCAGAGUUAAUUUAAAAGCACAAUAAUUUAAACAUGUUUGUCCAAAUGGAGUGAAGCCUUUUUAAAAGUUGUUUUGAUUUGAGUGUCAGGGUAUUUCGGCCAAAAAAAAGUAUAAUCUGGUCUGGUCUAAUCCAUGGUAUGGAGAUGUCUAAUAAAGUGUUUGUAGAACAGUUUGUCCUGAAAUACCUGCCUAAAGCAGGAAGGCAAUGAAAGCAGAGCAUGUACAGAAGUGUGGGAUUUGUUAUUAUCCAUUGAGUCAAAGCUUUGGUGCAAUACUGUUGAAGCUUUAUCUUGCGAAUUUACAUCAUGGAUACUCAUGUCUGUUUUGUCUAAUUUUCAGUGUCAGGGAAAAUUAAACUUGGAGGAUGUAGCAAAGGCUUGUGCCAAAUCUGAGAAGGCAGCUUUUAGAGAAUGGCUUUCUUGAUGAUGAUGGCAUAUUUAGUUGCUGGUGUUUCAGAAAAAAUGAUCAAUUUGUCUGCAUCCCAGCAGGAACUAUGCAUUUGCAAGACUGAGAAAGCUAAGCUUCAGUAAAAGGGUAUUGAUGAUAAAUUCAGGGUGUCUUAGACAGCGAGUAAUAACUACAUUUGAGAGUGGCCCUAUAGCCACAAACUGCAGGGUGGAACAAAAAUUGGAGGUACAGGCAGCAAAAGGAAGUUAGCCAUUGCUUUUAUUAUGGAAGACCCUCAGAAGGUGUGAGUGAAUGGGGUUCCUGCAGUGUCGGCCUUAUUCAUGUUUUUACGUAUACUUUGGUAAAGUACACAUUUAACUGAGGGCUAUUAAGUCUUCCUAGCUGAACUUCUUUGGUGUAAACCUCUUACAAACCUGUAUGAUAUUAAUACACAGAGAUGGUAAAAUGGGAUGUUAGAAGAAAAUCAACUGUAAUGAAAACGGCAUACUUCUGUAUGCUGAGCAGAGGUUUGAGAUCUGAAUCCUGUUUAGUUGCACAGGAUAUUUGUGCAGACUUUGGGAUCUACAAAUACAAGGGUUUUUUGUUCAUCUGCUUUUUGCACUUAAAUAUUUGUUUUAUAGUGGAAUGUAAAAUUUGAUAAUAAAUGUGUAUAACAUGCCUUUUUACAUUACAUUGGCUAUAUGGUGUGGUUUAUUCCAGACAUUUUAUUACACUAUUAAAGACAGGUACUUUGACACCUGC